This 253-nucleotide ribosomal RNA is filed under the name uncultured bacterium. Its description in RNAcentral is "partial 16S ribosomal RNA". It matches the Rfam family "Bacterial small subunit ribosomal RNA", at positions 524 to 776 of the family's 1533-position model. The record is from RNAcentral.
UACAGAGGGUGCAAGCGUUGUUCGGAAUUAUUGGGCGUAAAGCGCGCGUAGGCGGAUCUGCAAGUCGGGGGUGAAAUCCCGAGGCUCAACCUCGGAACUGCCUUCGAUACUGCGGGUCUCGAGUCCGGGAGAGGUGAGUGGAAUUCCUAGUGUAGAGGUGAAAUUCGUAGAUAUUAGGAAGAACACCAGUGGCGAAGGCGGCUCACUGGCCCGGUACUGACGCUGAGGCGCGAAAGCGUGGGGAGCAAACAGG